Molecule: long non-coding RNA, 650 nt
Filed under: Oryza brachyantha (malo sina)
Lineage: Eukaryota; Viridiplantae; Streptophyta; Magnoliopsida; Poales; Poaceae
Description: long non-coding RNA (OBRA_LNC002257)
Source: RNAcentral
CUUAUUUAAAAAAAAUUCAAAAUUCAAAAUUAUAUUUGUAUCAUUUCAUUUAUUGUUAAGUAUACUUUAUGCAUAUAUAUAGCUUUACAUAUUUUAAAAAUUGAAUAAGACGAAUGGUCAAACAUGUAUCGGUGUCAAACAUUUAGAGAUGGAUAGAGUAUUUGUAUGGAAACUGAGAACAACUAAUUACAUAAAUGUUAAAUAGCACUAACUCUUUGCAUUGCUCUCGACCUUGAAAGCCUUAUCAGUGUGUAUCUUGGGGGUGUUGGCUUCACAAAUUUGAUGCAGCAAAGAGCCAGGUUCUUCCACUUUACUUCCCAGUAUCACUCAUGAUAUCUUCAGAUUUCGAAAUGAGGCAUGCAUCUCAUAUAUGAGUUAAUAACAGUUCCGAAACUCCGGUGGCAAAGGGAGGGAAACAAUGAUUAUUAUACAGGAAUGAUUCUUAAUUUGAAAAGACAAAAUAUAAACACGAUUCAUUUGUGUGCAAGUUAAGUAUUACCAACGUCCAAAGAAGAAGCAAGCCCAACUAGAUUCUGUAUCGGUGGCAACAGAUGGCAUAAGGAUGCAUGGGGGAAAGUUUGGCUAAGUUGGUCAAGUCCAUUAAGAGUUGGGGAAGAGAAGAUUGAGUCAUAGGAAUAUUAUGGUUAGAG